Molecule: ribosomal RNA, 492 nt
Filed under: uncultured bacterium
Lineage: Bacteria
Description: partial 16S ribosomal RNA
Rfam family: Bacterial small subunit ribosomal RNA
Source: RNAcentral
AGUGAACGCUGGCGGUAGGCCUAACACAUGCAAGUCGAACGGCAGCACAGUAAGAGCUUGCUCUUACGGGUGGCGAGUGGCGGACGGGUGAGGAAUACAUCGGAAUCUACUUUUUCGUGGGGGAUAACGUAGGGAAACUUACGCUAAUACCGCAUACGACCUACGGGUGAAAGCAGGGGAUCUUCGGACCUUGCGCGAUUGAAUGAGCCGAUGUCGGAUUAGCUAGUUGGCGGGGUAAAGGCCCACCAAGGCGACGAUCCGUAGCUGGUCUGAGAGGAUGGUCGGCCGCACUGGAACGGGGACACGGACCAGACGCCUACGGGAGGCAGCAGUGGGGAAUAUUGGACAGUGGGCGCAAGCCUGAUCCAGCCAUACCGCGUGUGUGAAGAAGGCCUUCGGGUUGUAAAGCCCUUUUGUUGGGAAAGAAAAGCAGCAGGUUAAUACCCCGCUGUUCUGACGGUACCCAAUGAAUAAGCACCGGCUAACUUCGUG